This 191-nucleotide long non-coding RNA is filed under the name Cavia porcellus (domestic guinea pig). Its description in RNAcentral is "lncRNA (ENSCPOG00000040528.1)". Lineage: Eukaryota; Metazoa; Chordata; Mammalia; Rodentia; Caviidae. The record is from RNAcentral.
CUGUCCACCACCGCACGCUCCAUCCCUCCCAGCCGCGCCCUAGCUGAUGACCGUCCAGUGCUGGGGAGUUAAUCAAGCAUCUAGCACACUGCACAGCGUACUGAACAUUUUCAGAAAUUGCUGUGGUCUGAAGGCUGCCCGGUGGGCCUGGCGUCUGCACUGCAGGCCUGUGUGGAGCUGUCCCGUUACAC